This 495-nucleotide ribosomal RNA is filed under the name uncultured bacterium. RNAcentral's name for it is "partial 16S ribosomal RNA". It matches the Rfam family "Bacterial small subunit ribosomal RNA", at positions 28 to 507 of the family's 1533-position model. The record is from RNAcentral.
GAUGAACGCUGGCGGCGUGCCUAAUACAUGCAAGUAGAACGCUGAAGGAGGAGCUUGCUCUUCUGGAUGAGUUGCGAACGGGUGAGUAACGCGUAGGUAACCUGCCUGGUAGCGGGGGAUAACUAUUGGAAACGAUAGCUAAUACCGCAUGACAACAGUUAUUGCAUGAUAACUGUUUAAAAGGGGCAACUGCUCCACUACCAGAUGGACCUGCGUUGUAUUAGCUAGUUGGUGAGGUAACGGCUCACCAAGGCGACGAUACAUAGCCGACCUGAGAGGGUGAUCGGCCAAACUGGGACUGGGACACGGCCCAGACUCCUACGGGAGGCAGCAGGAGGGGAUCUUCGGCAAUGGACGGAAGUCUGACCGAGCAACGCCGCGUGAGGGAAGAAGGUUUUCGGAUCGUAAAGCUCUGUUGUAAGAGAAGAACGAGUGUGAGAGUGGAAAGUUCACACUGUGACGGUAUCUGACCAGAAAGGGACGGCUAACUACGUG